UACGUAGGGGGCAAGCGUUGUCCGGAAUUACUGGGCGUAAAGAGCGCGUAGGCGGUCUGAUAAGUCGGUUGUGAAAGUCGGGGGCUCAACCCUCGGAUGCCGAUCGAUACUGUCAGGCUAGAGUCCGGAAGAGGCGAGUGGAAUUCCUGGUGUAGCGGUGAAAUGCGCAGAUAUCAGGAAGAACACCGAUGGCGAAGGCAGCUCGCUGGGACGGUACUGACGCUGAGACGCGAAAGCGUGGGGAGCAAACAGG
RNAcentral lists this ribosomal RNA (253 nucleotides) under uncultured bacterium. Its description in RNAcentral is "partial 16S ribosomal RNA". It matches the Rfam family "Bacterial small subunit ribosomal RNA", at positions 524 to 776 of the family's 1533-position model. The record is from RNAcentral.